Molecule: ribosomal RNA, 253 nt
Filed under: uncultured bacterium
Lineage: Bacteria
Description: partial 16S ribosomal RNA
Rfam family: Bacterial small subunit ribosomal RNA
Source: RNAcentral
UACGUAGGGUGCAAGCGUUGUCCGGAAUUAUUGGGCGUAAAGAGCUCGUAGGCGGUCUGUCACGUCGGCUGUGAAAACCCGGGGCUCAACCCCGGGCCUGCAGUCGAUACGGGCAGACUAGAGUGCGGUAGGGGAGACUGGAAUUCCUGGUGUAGCGGUGAAAUGCGCAGAUAUCAGGAGGAACACCGGUGGCGAAGGCGGGUCUCUGGGCCGUUACUGACGCUGAGGAGCGAAAGCGUGGGGAGCGAACAGG